This 425-nucleotide ribosomal RNA is filed under the name uncultured bacterium. Its description in RNAcentral is "bacterial SSU rRNA". It matches the Rfam family "Bacterial small subunit ribosomal RNA", at positions 356 to 773 of the family's 1533-position model. The record is from RNAcentral.
CGGGAAUCUUCCGCAAUGGACGAAAGUCUGACGGAGCAACGCCGCGUGAGUGAUGAAGGUUUUCGGAUCGUAAAACUCUGUUGUUAGGGAAGAACAAGUACGAGAGUAACUGCUCGUACCUUGACGGUACCUAACCAGAAAGCCACGGCUAACUACGUGCCAGCAGCCGCGGUAAUACGUAGGUGGCAAGCGUUGUCCGGAAUUAUUGGGCGUAAAGCGCGCGCAGGCGGUCCUUUAAGUCUGAUGUGAAAGCCCACGGCUCAACCGUGGAGGGUCAUUGGAAACUGGGGGACUUGAGUGCAGGAGAGAAGAGUGGAAUUCCACGUGUAGCGGUGAAAUGCGUAGAGAUGUGGAGGAACACCAGUGGCGAAGGCGACUCUUUGGCCUGUAACUGACGCUGAGGCGCGAAAGCGUGGGGAGCAAAC